Macrobrachium nipponense is the source of this 1234-nucleotide long non-coding RNA. RefSeq lists it as uncharacterized. The record is from RefSeq and is a predicted model, not a curated record. Lineage: Eukaryota; Metazoa; Arthropoda; Malacostraca; Decapoda; Palaemonidae. The transcript is spliced from 4 exons.
UGAAGUGUUGGGUGGCCGGUGGGCUGCGGAGAGCCGGUGAUAUCCUAGUGCCGGCCGACAGCCCGAGUACCAACAACAAUUGCGAACUGUGAUUCUUUUAAGUUGUGAUGUUACUGGUUCUUGUGUUAUCAUGAAGUGUGCUUAACAUGAUCGGCGAUUACCUCGCUUUUCCACAGAUGAGCAGUCGAAGACAGCUGCGAAGUCUGUGAUCUGCAAUUGAGAGAGGAAUAAAGCUUGGUGAAGUAAGGUCGUUAGAGUAGCAAUAAGAUUAUUUUUUGCUGAAGAUGGUACCCAUGAUUCAGUUUAUGAAGUAUAUGUACUACUAUAAAAAAAAAUUUGAGACCUCCUUUGGUAGAUGGAUAGACUUUAAUACAAGGAAAAUGGAUAUAACAAAUCAGUCUUCACUAUUAUAUUGCACAGAAUCUUUCGGGGUUUACCUAUUGAGAUCCAGGAGAAGAGAUGAGACGUGGAAUAGAUGACUAAAGAAGAUAGCGAACCCAAGAGCACGAGGAAGAUAAUUAAGCACCAUGGAGGACAAGCGUUUGAAGAAGCAUUUCAGAGGAGGAAAAGCAUUGAAGAAGCAAUUCGAAAGGAUUUUUUUUAAAAACCUAACAAGGAGAAAAUCGUGUGAAAAGCUUGGCCUGCUGGCCUAAUACAGAUAUUGCAGGCCAAGUUCAUAUGCGAGAUGCUUAAAUACUGGAGAGUAGGCAUUCAUAAUUUGGUCUUUGCAAGAGGAUCUGCUUUCCAAGGUGGAUUAAUAUCCCCUAGCUGUCUUUCAAAACCAAUCAAAUGGAUAAACCGUAUGGAGUUUCUAAGAUUUUGAGAAGCAGCAGCUGUUUAUGUAGGUUUUCAGAAGAAUAUUAAUGACAGUAACACCACUUCUCAGUAAGUUUAAACUUCCUCCCCCAGGAAGUUGAAACUUCCACAGGGGAGGAAGCAAAUCAGUUAUCAAUUCCUAUUGGGAGUAGUAAGCACAUAUUAGAAUGAGUUAAAUUAAGUUAUUUAUGCUAUAAUAUUCUACUGGAUGAAACAGGAUAUUGUACUUUGGUGUGAAAAAAAGUUCAUAAUGUCCUGUUGCUACAUCCAAUAGAACAAUAGCAAAAACAACUUGCUUCUCCUCCUUCAUGUGGUAGACAAUGAUUGCAGGAACAGAAGCCUCUCUCUUCCGGAAGAGACUAUUGUACAUGAAUGAGAAGGAUUUCCAGUGCCUAUGCUUCUGUCCUCUCCGUAGAUA